This 422-nucleotide ribosomal RNA is filed under the name uncultured beta proteobacterium. RNAcentral describes it as "bacterial SSU rRNA". It matches the Rfam family "Bacterial small subunit ribosomal RNA", at positions 355 to 774 of the family's 1533-position model. Lineage: Bacteria; Pseudomonadati; Pseudomonadota; Betaproteobacteria. The record is from RNAcentral.
UAGGGAAUAUUGGUCAAUGGACGGAAGUCUGAACCAGCCAUUCCGCGUGCAGGAAGAAGGUCCUAUGGACUGUAAACUGCUUUUAUACGGGACGAAAAAAGGGUUUUCUAACUCGUCUGACGGUACCGUAUGAAUAAGCACCGGCUAACUACGUGCCAGCAGCCGCGGUAAUACGUAGGGUGCGAGCGUUAAUCGGAAUUACUGGGCGUAAAGGGUGCGCAGGCGGUUUUGUAAGUCAGAUGUGAAAUCCCCGGGCUUAACCUGGGAAUUGCGUUUGAAACUGCAAGACUAGAGUGCAGCAGAGGGGAGUGGAAUUCCAUGUGUAGCAGUGAAAUGCGUAGAGAUGUGGAAGAACACCGAUGGCGAAGGCAGCUCCCUGGGUUGACACUGACGCUCAUGCACGAAAGCGUGGGGAGCAAACA